RNAcentral lists this ribosomal RNA (470 nucleotides) under uncultured bacterium. Its description in RNAcentral is "bacterial SSU rRNA". It matches the Rfam family "Bacterial small subunit ribosomal RNA", at positions 328 to 794 of the family's 1533-position model. The record is from RNAcentral.
CCGCCAGACUCCUACGGGAGGCAGCAGUGAGGAAUAUUGGUCAAUGGGCGGGAGCCUGAACCAGCCAAGCCGCGUGAGGGAAGAAGGUACAGCGUAUCGUAAACCUCUUUUGUCAGGGAACAAAGGCGGGGACUAGUCCCCGGAUGAGGGUACCUGAAGAAAAAGCAUCGGCUAACUCCGUGCCAGCAGCCGCGGUAAUACGUAGGGGGCAAGCGUUGUUCGGAAUGACUGGGCGUAAAGGGUGCGUAGGCGGUGUAGCAAGUUAGAAGUGAAAUACCUAGAGCUUAACUCAGGUGCUGCUUCUAAAACUGCUAUACUUGAGUGCAGUAGAGGAAAGUGGAAUUCCUAGUGUAGCGGUGGAAUGCGUAGAUAUUAGGAGGAACAUCAGUGGCGAAGGCGACUUUCUGGACUGUAACUGACGCUGAGGCACGAAAGUGUGGGGAGCAAACAGGAUUAGAUACCCCAGUAAC